Non-coding RNA from Saccoglossus kowalevskii, 74 nucleotides. The record is from the annotation of a RefSeq genome assembly. Lineage: Eukaryota; Metazoa; Hemichordata; Enteropneusta; Harrimaniidae.
CCUUCGAUAGCUCAGUUGGUAGAGCGGAGGACUGUAGAUCCUUAGGUCGCGUGGUUCGAAUCCGGCUUGAAGGA